GACGAACGCUGGCGGCGUGCUUAACACAUGCAAGUCGAACGAAGAGCGACGGAAGCUUGCUUCUAUCAAUCUUAGUGGCGAACGGGUGAGUAACGCGUAAUCAACCUGCCCUUCAGAGGGGGACAACAGUUGGAAACGACUGCUAAUACCGCAUACGAUCUAACCUCGGCAUCGAGGAUAGAUGAAAGGUGGCCUCUACAUGUAAGCUAUCACUGAAGGAGGGGAUUGCGUCUGAUUAGCUAGUUGGAGGGGUAACGGCCCACCAAGGCGAUGAUCAGUAGCCGGUCUGAGAGGAUGAACGGCCACAUUGGGACUGAGACACGGCCCAGACUCCUACGGGAGGCAGCAGUGGGGAAUCUUCCGCAAUGGACGAAAGUCUGACGGAGCAACGCCGCGUGAGUGAUGACGGCCUUCGGGUUGUAAAGCUCUGUUAAUCGGGACGAAAGGCCUUCUUGCGAAUAGUGAGAAGGAUUGACGGUACCGGAAUAGAAAGCCACGACUAACUACGUG
This 510-nucleotide ribosomal RNA is filed under the name uncultured bacterium. Its description in RNAcentral is "partial 16S ribosomal RNA". It matches the Rfam family "Bacterial small subunit ribosomal RNA", at positions 28 to 507 of the family's 1533-position model. The record is from RNAcentral.